Melopsittacus undulatus (budgerigar) is the source of this 205-nucleotide small nucleolar RNA. Its record names the gene SNORA73. It matches the Rfam family "Small nucleolar RNA SNORA73 family". From Rfam's summary of the family: U17 (SNORA73A and SNORA73B) also known as E1 belongs to the H/ACA class of small nucleolar RNAs (snoRNAs). Vertebrate U17 is intron-encoded and ranges in length from 200-230 nucleotides, longer than most snoRNAs. NCBI's taxonomy places the organism in Eukaryota, Metazoa, Chordata, Aves, Psittaciformes, Psittaculidae. The record is from Ensembl.
CCAACGUGGGCAUCCGGAGAAGUCGCUCUCUCCAGGCUCUGUCCGUGUGGCGCAUGGGAGCGUAGGCCCCCGGGCCCGUGACGUAUGGUCCCGUUCCACGCCGUUGGAGAACAAGCUGGGCCUCGAGCCUGCAGCCUGCAUAUUCCUACUGCUUCUCUGAGCCCUUGGGCCUUGACAGAGGAGAUAAACCAUGCAGGAAACAAGC